RNAcentral lists this ribosomal RNA (326 nucleotides) under uncultured bacterium. RNAcentral's name for it is "bacterial SSU rRNA". It matches the Rfam family "Bacterial small subunit ribosomal RNA", at positions 202 to 507 of the family's 1533-position model. The record is from RNAcentral.
AAGGGGGGGGAUCUUCGGACCUCUCGCUAAUAGAUGAGCCUAGGCCGGAUUAGCUAGUUGGUAGGGUAAAAGGCCUACCAAGGCGACGAUCUGUAAGCUGGUCUGAGAGGAUGGCCAGCCACACUGGAACUGAGACCACGGUCCAGACUCCUACGGGAGGCAGCAGUGGGGGAUAUUGGACAAUGGGGGCAACCCUCGAUCCAGCCAUGCCGCGUGUGUGAAGAAGGCCUUCGGGUUGUAAAGCACUUUAAGCGAGGAGGAAGGUUUUAGUUUAAUACACUAAAGAAUUGACGUUACUCGCAGAAUAAGCACCGGCUAACUCUGUG